This 468-nucleotide ribosomal RNA is filed under the name uncultured bacterium. RNAcentral describes it as "partial 16S ribosomal RNA". It matches the Rfam family "Bacterial small subunit ribosomal RNA", at positions 28 to 507 of the family's 1533-position model. The record is from RNAcentral.
GACGAACGCUGGCGGCGUGCUUAACACAUGCAAGUCGAACGGAAAGGCCCUGCUUUUGUGGGGUGCUCGAGUGGCGAACGGGUGAGUAACACGUGAGUAACCUGCCCUUGACUUUGGGAUAACUUCAGGAAACUGGGGCUAAUACCGGAUAGGAGCUCCUGCUGCAUGGUGUGGGUUGGAAAGUUUCGGCGGUUGGGGAUGGACUCGCGGCUUAUCAGCUUGUUGGUGGGGUAGUGGCUUACCAAGGCUUUGACGGGUAGCCGGCCUGUGAGGGUGACCGGCCACAUUGGGACUGAGAUACGGCCCAGACUCCUACGGGAGGCAGCAGUGGGGAAUAUUGCACAAUGGGCGGAAGCCUGAUGCAGCAACGCCGCGUGCGGGAUGACGGCCUUCGGGUUGUAAACCGCUUUCGCCUGUGACGAAGCGUGAGUGACGGUAAUGGGUAAAGAAGCACCGGCUAACUACGUG